RNAcentral lists this ribosomal RNA (893 nucleotides) under uncultured bacterium. Its description in RNAcentral is "bacterial SSU rRNA". It matches the Rfam family "Bacterial small subunit ribosomal RNA", at positions 8 to 916 of the family's 1533-position model. The record is from RNAcentral.
AGAGUUUGAUCCUGGCUCAGGAUGAACGCUGGCGGCGUGCCUAACACAUGCAAGUCGAACGAAGAGGCCCCUUCGGGGGUACUUCAGUGGCGGACGGGUGAGUAACACGUAGGUGACCUGCCCCGAAGUGUGGAAUAACAGUCCGAAAGGAUUGCUAAUACCGCAUGUGGUCUGUGAGGUUAGAGUCUUGCAGACUAAAGCAGUAAUGCGCUUCGGGAGGGGCCUGCGCCCCAUCAGCUAGUUGGUAGGGUAAUGGCCUACCAAGGCAACAACGGGUAGGGGGCCUGAGAGGGUGACCCCCCACAUUGGCACUGACACACGGGCCAAACUCCUACGGGAGGCAGCAGUGAGGAAUAUUGCUCAAUGGGCGAAAGCCUGAAGCAGCAACGCCGCGUGCGCGAUGAAGGCCUUCGGGUCGUAAAGCGCUUUUGAGAGGGACGAGAUAGGACGGUACCUCUGGAAUAAGUCACGGCUAACUACGUGCCAGCAGCCGCGGUAAAACGUAGGUGGCAAGCGUUAUCCGGAUUCACUGGGCGUAAAGCGCGUGCAGGUGGCUUCGUAAGUUGGACGUUAAAUCUCCCGGCCUAACCGGGAGGGGUCGUUCAAUACUGCGGGGCUGGAGGGCAGAAGAGGGGGGUGGAAUUGCUGGUGUAGUGGUGAAAUGCGUAGAUAUCAGCAGGAACACCCGUGGCGAAAGCGGCCCCCUGGUCUGCUCCUGACACUCAGACGCGAAAGCUAGGGGAGUGAACGGGAUUAGAAACCCCGGUAAUCCUAGCCGUAAACGAUGGAUGCUAGGUGUGGGUGGUAUUGACCCCAUCCGUGCCGAAGCCAACGCGUUAAGCAUUCCGCCUGGGGACUACGGCCGCAAGGUUAAAACUCAAAGGAAUUGACGG